This 436-nucleotide ribosomal RNA is filed under the name uncultured bacterium. RNAcentral's name for it is "bacterial SSU rRNA". It matches the Rfam family "Bacterial small subunit ribosomal RNA", at positions 342 to 795 of the family's 1533-position model. The record is from RNAcentral.
CGGGAGGCAGCAGUGGGGAAUAUUGGACAAUGGGCGAAAGCCUGAUCCAGCAAUGCCGCGUGAGUGAUGAAGGCCUUAGGGUUGUAAAGCUCCUUUACCCGGGAUGAUAAUGACAGUACCGGGAGAAUAAGCCCCGGCUAGCUCCGUGCCAGCAGCCGCGGUAAUACGGAGGGGGCUAGCGUUGUUCGGAAUCACUGGGCGUAAAGCGUACGUAGGCGGUUAUUCAAGUCAGAGGUGAAAGCCUGGAGCUCAACUCCAGAACUGCCUUUGAAACUAGAUAGCUAGAAUCACGGAGAGGUGAGUGGAAUUCCGAGUGUAGAGGUGAAAUUCGUAGAUAUUCGGAAGAACACCAGUGGCGAAGGCGGCUCACUGGACGUGUAUUGACGCUGAGGUACGAAAGCGUGGGGAGCAAACAGGAUUAGAUACCCGUGUAGUC